UCACCUGCCACCACUCAGCCUCCUCCUCCUCCUCUGCCCACUAACUACACUCUCCCAUCUCUUGUCUGCAUCAUUGCACUGGUUUUUCUUCUGCUACUGGUUCUACUGGUUCGGCGAGGAAUUCAUAGGAAAGAGCCCAAACAUACAAGUGAAGAACAGGAAGUUGAAGAUGACAGAAUCAUCUACAGUGAUGUCAGAAUAAAACGGCUUCAUCAUGAGAAUAAACCACUAAAUGAAGGUUCUGAUCCAGAUGCAGUUUAUUCCUCAGUGAGAAAAGAAGAAACCAGAAUGACCAGAAACUGAUCAGAGAAAAAAAUAACUGAUCUACAUU
Non-coding RNA from Poecilia reticulata (guppy), 331 nucleotides. The record is from RefSeq and is a predicted model, not a curated record. NCBI's taxonomy places the organism in Eukaryota, Metazoa, Chordata, Actinopteri, Cyprinodontiformes, Poeciliidae.